RNAcentral lists this small RNA (28 nucleotides) under Bombyx mori (domestic silkworm). RNAcentral's name for it is "ovarian small RNA-6798". The record is from RNAcentral. Lineage: Eukaryota; Metazoa; Arthropoda; Insecta; Lepidoptera; Bombycidae.
UCAAUUCCUGCCUUAUCGAUUAUAGAUA